Molecule: transfer RNA, 72 nt
Filed under: Candidatus Wolfebacteria bacterium GW2011_GWB1_47_1
Lineage: Bacteria; Candidatus Wolfeibacteriota
Description: tRNA-Asn
Rfam family: tRNA
About the family: Transfer RNA (tRNA) molecules are approximately 80 nucleotides in length. Their secondary structure includes four short double-helical elements and three loops (D, anti-codon, and T loops).
Source: RNAcentral
UCCCUGGUAGCUCAGUGGUAGAGCGGCUCGCUGUUAACGAGAUGGUCGGGGGUUCGAAUCCCUCCCGGGGAG